GAUGAACGCUAGCGGCAGGCCUAAUACAUGCAAGUCGAACGGUAGAUCGGGUAGCAAUACUUGAUUGAGAGUGACGUAAGGGUGCGUAACACGUAUGCAAUCUACCCUCAACAGGAGUAUAGCUCGGGGGAAACUCGGAUUAACACUCCAUAACAUUACGAUGUGGCAUCACAUUGUGAUUAAAACUCCGGUGGUUGAGGAUGAGCAUGCGUCUGAUUAGUUAGUUGGAGGUGUAACGGACCCCCAAGACGAUGAUCAGUGGGGGAACUGAGAGGUUGAUCCCCCACACUGGCACUGAGAUACGGGCCAGACUCCUACGGGAGGCAGCAGUAGGGAAUAUUGGUCAAUGGGUGAGAGCCUGAACCAGCCAUGCCGCGUGCAGGAAGACGGCCUUCUGGGUUGUAAACUGCUUUAUCUGGGGAUAAAAAGCCCAUGCGUGGGACAUUGAAGGUACCAGAUGAAUAAGCACCGGCUAACUACG
Molecule: ribosomal RNA, 481 nt
Filed under: uncultured bacterium
Lineage: Bacteria
Description: bacterial SSU rRNA
Rfam family: Bacterial small subunit ribosomal RNA
Source: RNAcentral